Molecule: small RNA, 1570 nt
Filed under: Malus domestica (apple)
Lineage: Eukaryota; Viridiplantae; Streptophyta; Magnoliopsida; Rosales; Rosaceae
Description: sRNA MD15G0148400
Source: RNAcentral
UCUCUCACACACACACACACACACCCAGAUAGCUGUUUCUUUUGUUACAGGUAUGGCACACACAUGUUAAUCUCUUCGAAGAAGAGUGGAAAUUCAAACUUGGGAUAAGCAGGAGAGCUAAUCGACCGAUGAUCUCCUUCUCGAUCUAGAGAGAUCGGACACAGAUAUGCAAUCUUCCUCCCUCUCUCUUGUGAUUGUUGGUUUUUGGUUCGAAUAUCUGGUUUUACUUUUGAUCGAUCGACAUAGUACUGUACUUUAAACGUCAACUGUAGUAUUCCUUUUUCAUGUAUACUUAGUGACAGUUUAUACUAUCGUACUCCUUUCAUGUACAUGUUCGUAACUUGCAUUCUUUGAACAAAAAUUAACUAGUCAUAUAUAGAAUAGAAGUCAAUUUUUUUAGAGUUCAUCAAGUGUAUACCGUUAAGAAUGAAUCUCACGUUUAUGGGAGGAGGAGUCUUGCAUGAGCUUAUAAGUAAGUUGGGCUAUUACCAAUUGGUUUUAUGGUUGAACCUCAACUUUCUUUAUGGUAUUAGAGCAGGUGGUCCCAUGUGUGAAGCUCAACGAUCAUAGUGUUACACGUCACCCCGCUUGUGUUGUCCAUGUGUUAGGCUUGAAAAUUCACCACACGUAAGGGCCGUGUUGAGAAUGAAUCACACAUAGAUGGGAGGGACAUUGCAUGGGCUUAUAAGUAAUUGGCUAUUCCCCAUAUUACUAAUUGGUUUUACGGUAGAACCCCAACUUUCUUCGAAAACUUCCCAUUGUAACUAAUAAUAUCAUAUGUAGAACAAUUCCUUUUUUUUAAGACACGGGAGAGCUAUGGAGUCAUCAAAAUUAAUUGUAAAAACAACAUGAAGAACUUUUGUUUUUCAUAUCCUAUAUAUAUUUCUUGAGCAUUGUAAGUCAAUAUAACCAAUUUUCCUCCCAAACUAAGGCCAACAUAUCACGUGUUAAAAUUUCUCUUUAUUGACUUCUCCUUAAAAGCACAAAACACCGAUUGACUAAAUCCUAAUGUUAAAAAUAUUUUGUGACCUCAAACAAGUUACCCAUUUUUAUCCCUUCUUAUGGCCACGUAAGGUCCGGAUGAGAUAAAGCAAAUUAAGUCCUAUAUAUAAGUAGAAACUUUGCCUUCAAUGGAGAGACAAUUAAGGAAUGAGGCUAAUUAAUUUGUUUGUGGCAGCCAUUCAAAUUAAGAAUGAAACGUAAUUUUAGCAUCUUUAAUAACGUGUAAAAGAAAUGAAGAAACUGUUGAUUUUUGAUUUAUUGAGUUGAGUUUUUCUUCUGUUUUUUGACGUUUCUGCUUCUCUUUAUACGCGUUGACAUUAAUCUAACAAUUUUCUUUCUGUAUUUUUGUUAUUUGACCAACCAUUUUAGUUAGAGCCACAUUUGCAACCACCCCCACCCAUAUUUUUAGCUUUUAGAGUAAAUUCUGACCAUUAAACUAACCCUUUGUUUUCCUUUUUGCUGUUUUUGGUUUAGAUUAUUACUUAUGGCCCAGAAAUAUAGCCGAGCAUGUAGGGUUUAGAAAUUGAUGGAUGUACCACCUAUUAAUUUGCGUACUUUAUUCAUGGUU